This 552-nucleotide ribosomal RNA is filed under the name uncultured bacterium. Its description in RNAcentral is "bacterial SSU rRNA". It matches the Rfam family "Bacterial small subunit ribosomal RNA", at positions 355 to 896 of the family's 1533-position model. The record is from RNAcentral.
UAGGGAAUCUUCGGCAAUGGACGGAAGUCUGACCGAGCAACGCCGCGUGAGUGAAGAAGGUUUUCGGAUCGUAAAGCUCUGUUGUAAGAGAAGAACGAGUGUGAGAGUGGAAAGUUCACACUGUGACGGUAUCUUACCAGAAAGGGACGGCUAACUACGUGCCAGCAGCCGCGGUAAUACGUAGGUCCCAAGCGUUGUCCGGAUUUAUUGGGCGUAAAGCGAGCGCAGGCGGUUAGAUAAGUCUGAAGUUAAAGGCUGUGGCUUAACCAUAGUACGCUUUGGAAACUGUUUAACUUGAGUGCAAGAGGGGAGAGUGGAAUUCCAUGUGUAGCGGUGAAAUGCGUAGAUAUAUGGAGGAACACCGGUGGCGAAAGCGGCUCUCUGGCUUGUAACUGACGCUGAGGCUCGAAAGCGUGGGGAGCAAACAGGAUUAGAUACCCUGGUAGUCCACGCCGUAAACGAUGAGUGCUAGGUGUUAGACCCUUUCCGGGGUUUAGUGCCGUAGCUAACGCAUUAAGCACUCCGCCCGGGGAGUAACGAACCGCAAGGUUG